Panicum virgatum (switchgrass) is the source of this 466-nucleotide long non-coding RNA. RefSeq lists it as uncharacterized. The record is from RefSeq and is a predicted model, not a curated record. Lineage: Eukaryota; Viridiplantae; Streptophyta; Magnoliopsida; Poales; Poaceae. The transcript is spliced from 3 exons.
AGUACCGCAUCUGUUGGGUCAGAACGCUUUCUUCCCCACGAGCUCAACCAUGGAGUCGGCUUCCUCUUCCUAGAUCCGGUUUUCCCGGAACCUGUGACCAACACCUAUGUCUGCAAGAGAGGAGCAGUAAGCUUCAAGAGAGGAGGAGAGCAAUGGUGUAGAGCCCCCCGAUGAUCUAAUUUCAGUCGACGGUACAGAAACAGCAAUGGUAUUACUUUGGAUUCAACAGGCGGCCGUUCUUAACUGCUACUCAUUCAUGCUAAUCAAAAUGGUGCUGCAAUGACAUUCCAGGAUAUGGUAAUGACAGCCAGCAAAGGGGUGCUUCACUAUGCGGGUGAUGACUUGAAAGGAAAAAAUCUUACUAGCCGUGUUGGAGAAGAUCAAAGCUCCAAUGAUUCAGGAGUUCAUCUGGAUGUAGCAAGUUGUGUGACAGAACCGCCAAGUUAAACGGCUUAAUUAAGCGUAA